Molecule: ribosomal RNA, 253 nt
Filed under: uncultured bacterium
Lineage: Bacteria
Description: partial 16S ribosomal RNA
Rfam family: Bacterial small subunit ribosomal RNA
Source: RNAcentral
UACAGAGGUCCCAAGCGUUGUUCGGAUUCAUCGGGCGUAAAGGGUGCGUAGGUGGCAUGGUAAGUUGAAGGUGAAAUCUCGGGGCUCAACUCCGAAACUGCCUUCAAUACUGCUGUGCUCGAGGACUGUAGAGGAGAAUGGAAUUCACGGUGUAGCAGUGAAAUGCGUAGAUAUCGUGAGGAAGACCAGUGGCGAAGGCGAUUCUCUGGGCAGUUCCUGACACUGAGGCACGAAGGCUAGGGGAGCAAACGGG